GCCCAAGAGAUCGGGAUAACACCUGGAAACAAGAUGCUAAUACCGGAUAACAACAGAUGAUGCCUAUCAACUGUUUAAAGAUGGUUCUGCUAUCACUCUUGGAUGGACCUGCGGUGCAUUAGCUAGUUGGUAGGGUAACGGCCUACCAAGGCGAUGAUGCAUAGCCGAGUUGAGAGACUGAUCGGCCACAUUGGGACUGAGACACGGCCCAAACUCCUACGGGAGGCAGCAGGC
Molecule: ribosomal RNA, 234 nt
Filed under: uncultured Lactobacillus sp.
Lineage: Bacteria; Bacillati; Bacillota; Bacilli; Lactobacillales; Lactobacillaceae
Description: partial 16S ribosomal RNA
Rfam family: Bacterial small subunit ribosomal RNA
Source: RNAcentral